AAGGUGAAGAUGCUGAGCUGGAACCCGGAUAACUAUGUCUGUGAAAGCAAGUUGGAUUUACAGACUUCCCAGAAACUAUGAUCCUACCCUACAUCCUUCUGCGGUCCCACGAGAAUACUUAAGAGCUUUAAAUGCUGUCAAACUGGAAAGAGUAUUUGCAAAACCAUUCCUUUUUCCCUGAAUGGUCACUGAGACGGAGUCAAUUGCUUGGCAAAGCAUCCAAGGAGCCUGGCUCCUGUCCUUUCUGGGCCAUGUGAUGGAGAGGUUAGAAUCUGGAACCUGACUCAACGGAAAUGUGUCCGUACAAUACAAGCACAUGAAGGCUUUGUACGAGGAAUAUGUCCUCACUUUUGUGGGACUUUUUUUUACUGUUGGUGAUGACAGGACUGUGAAGCAGUGGGAAUUGGAGGGCUCAGGCUAUGGAGAAGGGGAAGUCCUUUUGCAUAUGGUAUUAAGAAGGCGGCGGACACUGGGACUGAUCAUCACUGGAAAGAAGCUGUUUUUGCCACAUGUGGACAGCAAGUAAACAUUUGGGAUGAACAAAGAACUAAUCCU
RNAcentral lists this long non-coding RNA (555 nucleotides) under Homo sapiens (human). Its description in RNAcentral is "non-protein coding lnc-FBXL7-11:1". The record is from RNAcentral. Lineage: Eukaryota; Metazoa; Chordata; Mammalia; Primates; Hominidae.